Molecule: ribosomal RNA, 460 nt
Filed under: uncultured bacterium
Lineage: Bacteria
Description: partial 16S ribosomal RNA
Rfam family: Bacterial small subunit ribosomal RNA
Source: RNAcentral
GACGAACGCUGGCGGCGUGCUUAACACAUGCAAGUCGAGCGGAAAGGCCCUUCGGGGUACUCGAGCGGCGAACGGGUGAGUAACACGUGAGUAACCUGCCCCAGACUUUGGGAUAACCCUCGGAAACGGGGGCUAAUACCGGAUACGACACAGCUUCGCAUGGGGUCUGUGUGGAAAGUUUUUCGGUUUGGGAUGGGCUCGCGGCCUAUCAGCUUGUUGGUGGGGUGAUGGCCUACCAAGGCGACGACGGGUAGCCGGCCUGAGGGGGCGACCGGCCACACGGGGACUGAGACACGGCCCAGACUCCUCGGGGGGGCAGGAGGGGGGAAUAUUGCAAAAGGGGCGGAGGCCUGAUGCAGCGACGCCGGGUGGGGGAUGCCGGCCUUGGGGUUGAAAACCUUUUUCAGCGGGGACGAAGCGUAAGGGACGGUACCUGCAGAAGAAGCGCCGGCCAACUACG